This 284-nucleotide unclassified non-coding RNA is filed under the name plant metagenome. Its description in RNAcentral is "partial contains small subunit ribosomal RNA, internal transcribed spacer 1, and 5.8S ribosomal RNA". The stretch from base 1 to 54 matches the Rfam family "Eukaryotic small subunit ribosomal RNA", at positions 1778 to 1831 of the family's 1831-position model. The record is from RNAcentral.
GGAAGUAAAAGUCGUAACAAGAUCUCCGUUGGUGAACCAGCGGAGGGAUCAUUACCGAGUUUACAACUCCCAAACCCCUAUGUGAACGUUACCAAACUGUUGCCUCGGCGGGAAAUUCAUGCCCCGGGCGCGUCGCAGCCCCGGACCAAGGCGCCCGCCGGAGGACCAACCAAAACUCUUUUGUAUGUCCCUCGCGGACUUUUAUAAUUCUGAACCAUCUCGGCGCCCCUAGCGGGCGUUUCGAAAAUGAAUCAAAACUUUCAACAACGGAUCUCUUGGUUCUG